This 240-nucleotide unclassified non-coding RNA is filed under the name soil metagenome. Its description in RNAcentral is "partial contains 5.8S ribosomal RNA, internal transcribed spacer 2, and large subunit ribosomal RNA". The record is from RNAcentral.
AACGCACGAGACCUGCGGACCUGCGGAAGGAUCAUUACAGUGCUCGUCGGUACGUCGCGCCUCCGGGCGUCGGCGCAUCGCACCUGCCCCACCCGUGUCUACCUUUCUUCUGUUGCUUUGGCGGGCCCGGCCCCCGAGCGUACCCACGCGCUGGGUGCGUCCGGCGGCGGACCGGGGGUUUUGCCCCUGGCCAGCGCCCGUCAGAGGACCCUUUGAACCCUUUGUGAAUAUACGGCAGUC